GGGUACCUGCCUCAUACAGGGGAGUAACAGUUGGAAACGGACUGCUAAUACCGCAUAAGCGCACAGUACCGCGUGGUACGGUGUGAAAAACUACCGGUGGUAUGAGAUGGACCCGCGUCUGAUUAGGUAGUUGGUGGGGUAACGGCCGUACCAAGCCGACGAUCAGUAGCCGACCUGAGAGGGUGACCGGCCACAUUGGGACUGAGACACGGCCCAA
Molecule: ribosomal RNA, 217 nt
Filed under: uncultured bacterium
Lineage: Bacteria
Description: partial 16S ribosomal RNA
Rfam family: Bacterial small subunit ribosomal RNA
Source: RNAcentral